AAGUCGUAACAAGGUAACCGUAGGUGAACCUGCGGUUGGAUCAUUAAUAAAACUAGAGGGCCUUCAAGGCUUUUCUAUACAUCUUGUGAAUUGUUUAAUGUCUCUCAGUGUAUCUAGGGUAACCCCUUAGUGCACUAUAUAAACUCUGUAUACUAAUUUGUCUAAUAUUAAUUAUAAAAGUAAUUAAAACAACUUUUGACAACGGAUCUCUAGGCUCUCACAACGAUGA
RNAcentral lists this unclassified non-coding RNA (229 nucleotides) under fungal sp. RNAcentral describes it as "partial internal transcribed spacer region". The stretch from base 1 to 46 matches the Rfam family "Eukaryotic small subunit ribosomal RNA", at positions 1786 to 1831 of the family's 1831-position model. Lineage: Eukaryota; Fungi. The record is from RNAcentral.